Long non-coding RNA from Bos taurus (domestic cattle), 10591 nucleotides. Lineage: Eukaryota; Metazoa; Chordata; Mammalia; Artiodactyla; Bovidae. The record is from Ensembl.
UUGUAAUCCAGUUGCAUGUGUUGCCUGCGUCUAUGGCAUAGCCUUCUCAAUUGCAGUUCUAAGACAAGGCGCAGAGAUUGGGACCAAAGCCCUCUGUGCUGUACUCUGCCCUCUUUGUUUCCUGGGAGCCUGCUAGGGGUUUUUGUCUUUUUAUUUGAUGCCUCUAGUGGUUUUUUUAAUGUCCUAAGGCAGUGCCCCAUAAGAUUCUAGGUGGGUGAGAAGCAGCCUUUCUUCUGAGAAUAGGGAUUAUGGCCAUUGUGAAAAGGAAAGUAUUUAAAGAUAGCUCUGAAGAGGUUUUAUCUGAGCACAUAAAUAUUAGGAUAAUACAUAUGGAAAUUGAAGAUCUUAAAGUUGCUUUCCUUAUAGAUAUUCCUGUCUACUUUCCCUAUUGGAAGAAAUUUUGGUGUAUGCUCAGGGGUAUGAAUAUUUUGAAGAUCAAGGCCCUAAAAUUAUUAAAUUUAAGGAUCUUAAGAAUGAACUUGGGUUGCUUGCUAUAAGCCCAACUCAACUCCCUGCCCCAAACACACACAUGCAUGCAUUCACAGGCGCUGGUACACACACAGGUACAGACAAAAAUCCUUUAUUUAGCAUCGUAUUUAGAGAAAUUUUGUUAAAAUCAUAGAAAUUAACCAGCACGCACUCAUAUAGUCAACCUCUUAUUUUGCACAUGAGGCUGAAAGGGUAAAUGACUGCUAAAAGUCACAGCUAGUGAUAGAGCUUUCUGGGAUCCAGGUCUCCUACAGUAAAUCUCUAAACCAUGCUUUCUUCCUUCUCAUUAUUUGUUAACUGUUUAAACUGUGGUUUUUGUUGAAUUUGGAAUAACUGAUGGCCUUAAAAUACUGAAGAAUAUGAGCUGCAGCCAAAACAGGACUUCAGAGAGAAUACUUAACUGUUUCUCCUCAAAGAGAAAAGGCAGUACAUGUCAGCUCCUCGUACAUAAUCCGAUAAGUUACUCCUCCCACUGGAAAGACAAGUAGAGGCAGCAGAGGAACCUGAACUGUCUGUCCAGUGUUUGUCCUCCUUGGGGGAUGAAACUUAGGUCUCUGGCUGUCUCCAGGCAUUAGGGACAAGGGUUUUUCCCCUCAGUAAAUAGAAUCAGUCCUUCAAGUUCAGUGUUUCAUUAGACUAUGGUAAGUGCUCUAAAAAUUUAGGAAGUUAAGUAACUUUAUACCCCAUUCUCUCCCCACCCCACCCCCAUACUACUCUUUUCAUGAUAGUUUGAUAGCUAUUGAUUUUAUUUUAAUUUUGCCAGUUAAUUGCUUUUGCAAGUAAAAUGAGGAAUAGGGAGAGCUGGGAUCUGCACUUGUACCCUCUGGUCCCUCUUAUAUGAAGUUGAGUUUUUGAAGAAAGCUUAAUAAAAGUCUAAAAUUUUUAUUUUUGUAUAUAGAUAUUUGCUGCUAAUUUGGUGCAUCCUUGCCUAGCACAGAAUCCUCUUAUGCUACUCUACUUACUUUUUUCCCCCCUUGGAUCACCUUGGUUUUUACUGUCCCCAUUAGCAGUAAAUACUUUGCUUAGAAGAUUUUAAACUGCACAUUUGAGCUGAAAAUAUUUGAAUAAAUACAUUUAGGUUUACUGAACCCCUAUCAAGAGUCUUGAACAACUUGAAUGUUACAAAGAACUGUAUCUGCAGAAGGAGGUAAUAUUUCUUUUGUAGCUUACCUGAAACCCAAGAUGCUGCUUCUGCAGUUUGUUUUCCAUUAUCCAGGAUCUUUGUUUUAUUAAUUUUUUAAAUUUUUUAUUUUAUAUCGGAGUGUAGCCAAUUAACAAUGUUAUGAUAGUUUUAAGUGCACAGCAAAGUGACUCAACCAUACAUAUACAUGUAUCCAUAAGAAUUGGCCUGUGAUGUGGGAGACCUUGCUUGCUUGGAAAAUCCCAUGAACAGAGGAGCCUGGCGGGCUAUAGUCCCUGGGGUCUCAAAAGAGUCAGACACAACUGAGCAACUGACACUUCACUUCAUUCUAUCCUAAACUUCCCUUGAAUCCAGGCUGCUGUAUAACCUUGAACAGAGCUCCUUGUGCUAUACAGUGGAUCCUUUUUGUUACCCAUUUUAAAUAUAGCAGUGUACAUGUCGAUCUGAGAGUCUCUAUCCCUUCCCCCCACUUUUCCCCACUGGUAACUGUAAGUUCUCUAAGUCUGUGAAUUUGCUUCUGAUUUGUAAUUAAGUUUAUUUGUAUAAUUUCCUUUUUGAUUCUGCAUGUAAGGGAUAUCAUGAUAUUUCCGUCAUAUCGUGUCAUAUGAUACCAUCUGAUCUCUCUGGGUCCAUCCAUGUUGCUGCAUAUGGCAUUAUUUCAUUCUUUUUAAUGGCUGAAUAGUAUUCCAUUGUGUAUAUGUACCACAUCUUCCUUAUCCAUUCCUCUGUUGAUGGGCACUUGGGUUGCUUCCAGUUUUUGGCUGUUGUAAACAACACUGCAAUGAACACUGGGGUGCGUGUCCCUUCCGACCUGUUUUUCUCCACAUAUAUUCCCAGGAGUGGGAUUGCAGGGUCCUAUGGUAGCUCUAUUUUUAGUUUUUUUAAGGAAACUCCAUACUGCUCUUUGUAGUGGCUGUACCAUUUUACAUUCUCACCAACAGCAUAGGAGGGUUCCCUUCUCUCCACACCCUGUCCAGUAUUUACUGUUUAUGGAUUUUUUGAUAAUGGCCAUUUUGGCUGAUGUGAGUUGAUAACCUCAUUGUAGUUUUGAUUUGCAUUUCUCUAGUAGCAAUGUUGAACACCUUUUCAUGUGCCACUAAGCCAUCUAUGUCUCCUUCUGAGAAAUGUCUGUUUAGGUCUUCUGCCCAUUUUUGUUGGUCUUUUAAUGAAAUUUUUUAUUUUUAAGGUAAUUGUGGAUUCACGUGCAGCUGUAGGAAACAGUACAGAGAGAUGCCUUGUAAUCUGUAAUAAUUUGCCCCAAUAAUAACAUCUUGAAAAGUUGUAGUGUAACAUCACAACCAGGGUGUUGACGUUGAACGGUCAGGAUAAAAAGCAUUUCCAUCACUGCUGGAAUCCUUCUACAAUCCUUUAUAGACCUGUUAGGUUCCUUAUAACCCUAUCCGCUCUUUAGCCCUAGAAAUUACUAAUUUGUUUUCCAUUUCUGUGAUAUUGUGACUUCAGAAAUGCUCGUGCAUGGAACCAUAUGGUAUGCAACCUUUUGGGAUUGGACUUUUUUUUUCCAGCAUAAUUGCCUGGAAAUACAUCUGAGUUGUAUAUAUGAAUAAUUUGUUCUUUUAACUGCUGAGCUGUAUUUUAGGGUAUAGCUAAACUACAGUUUGCUUAAUCAUUCACUCAUUGAAUGACAUCUAGAUUCUUUCUAGUUUUUGCCAUUAUAAAAAAAGCUGCUAUAAGCAUUUGUGAACAUAUUUUGGACAAACCGAAGUUUUAAUUUCUCUGGGAUAAAUGCUUAGUAAUACAAUUGAUAAGAAGGUAUGGUAAAUGAAUUUUAGCUUUUAAGAAUUGCCAAAUGCUUUUUCCUUAAUGGCUAUGCCAUUUCACUUUCUCACCAGCAAUUUAACAGUGAUCCACUUCUCUGCAUGAUCACUAGAAUUUGGUGCUUUCACUCUCUAUAAUAUUUAAUUUUAGUCAUUCUGAUAGAUAUGUGAUGAUAUCCCAUUGUGGUUUUAAUUACAGUUUUCCUAAUAACUGAACCUUUUAAUUGGACCUGAAACAAGUGAGCCUGAACCGUGUAUAUGCCGUACGUCCAUCCUCUUUGGUGAAGGGUUCAUGCCUUUUGCCCAUUUUCUAAUUGCUUUCUUACUGUUGAGUUUUGGGUUCAGUUCAGUUCAGUUGCUCAGUUGUGUCCGACUCUGCAACCCCAUGGACUGCAGCACGCCAGGCCUCCCUGUCCAUCACCAACUCCCAGAGUUUACUCAAACCCAUGUUCAUUGAGUUGGUGAUGCCAUCCAACCAUCUCAUCCUGUCGUCCCCUUUUCCUCCUGCCCUCAAUCUUUCCCAGCAUCAGGGUCUUUUCAAAUGAGUCAGCUCUUCACAUCAGGUGGCCAAAUUAUUGGAGUUUCAGCUUCAACGUCAGUCCUUCCAAUGAAUAUUCUGGAUUGCUUUCUUUUAAGAUGGACUGGGAGUUCUUUCUAUGCUCUAGAUAUUAGUUCUUUGCUGUAUAUGCUGUAUUUGUAAAUAUUUUCUCCCACUCUGUAGUUGGUCUUUUUAUCCCUUUCAGAUGAUCUUUCUCAGAAAUAGUUUGUAGUUUUGAUAAAGUUCAGUUUAUCAGUUUUUUUGUAUAUAUUUUGUGCUUUGCUGUCAAGUCUAAAAAUUCUUUGUUUUAGCCCCAAAUCUGGAAUAUUUUGUCCUUGUUUUCUGUUAACAGUUUAGUGAUCUGAUAUUUUACGUUUAAAUCUGUGAUUCAUCUUGCUUUAAUUUUGUAUAAGUUGUGGUAAUUAGAUGAAGAUUUUUCUUUUUUUUUGUCUAUGAUGCCCUAUUGUCCCAGCAGCAUUUAUUCAAAGACUAUUUUUCACUUAUUUAUUUAUUUUUGAAAACUUUUUAUUUUAUAUUGGAGUGUAGUCAGUUAACAAUAUUGUGAAGUCAGGGAGUACUUUGGCUAUUCAGGGUCUUGUCUCCAUACAGAUUUUAAGAUUUUGUGUUCUAGCUCUGUGAAGAAUGCCAUUGAUGAUUUGAUAGGGUUUACAUUGAAUCUGUAGAUUGCCUUAGGGAGUAUAGUCAUUUUGAUACUGUUGAUUCUUCCAGUCCACAAAGUGUGUUUCAUUUUCCCAUUUCUUUGUGUCUCUGACUUCUUUCAUCAGUAUCUUACAGUUUUCAGAGUACACGUCUUUUGUCUCCUUAAGUAGGUUUAUUCCUAAGAUAUUUUAUUCAUUUUGAUGCAAUGGUAAGUGAAAUUGUUUCUUGAAUCUCUGUCUAAUCUUUUGUUGUUAGUGUAUAGAAGUGCAAAAGAUUUGUGUGUAUUAAUGUGCAGCCUGCAGCUUUACGGGCUUCGUGGAUGAGUGCUGGUUUUCUGGCCAUGUCUUGAGGAUUUUCUGUGUAGAGGAUCAUGUCAUAUGCAGGCAGUGACAGUUCAACUUCUUUUCCAAUUUGGAUUCCUUUUAUUUCUUUUUCUUCUCUGAUUGCUGUAGCUAGGACUUCCAAAACUGUUGAAUAAAAGUGGCGCGAGUGGAUACCCUUGUCUUGUUUCUGGCCUUAGAAGAAAUGCUUUCAGCUUUUUCCUGUUGAAUAUAACGUUAGCUGUAGGUUUGUCGAGUAUAGCAUUUAUUAUGUUGAGGUAUGUUCCCUCUAUAUAUACUUUCUGGAGAGUUUUUAUCAUAAACGAGUACUAAAUUUUGUCAGAACCUUUUUCUGCAUCUGUUGCUCAUUGGGCUUCCCUGGUGGCUCAGAUGGUAAAGAAUCUGCAUGCAAUAUAGGAGACCAAGGUUCAGUCUCUGGGUCGGGAUGAUCCUCUGGAGAAAGGCAACCCACUCCAGUAUUCUUGUCUGGAAAAUCCCAUGGACAGAGGAGCCUAGAGGGCUACAGUCCAUGGGGUCUCAAAGAGUCAGACAUGACUGAGCAGCUUCCACUUGAUUGAUCAUAAGGCUUUUAUUCUUCAAUUUUUUUAAUGUGUAGACACUAAUUUAUAAAUAUUAAAAAAAUCCUUGCAUAACUGCAAUAAAUCCCACUUGAUCAUGGUGUGUGUAUAACUGUUUUAAUGUAUUGUUGAAUACGGAUUUCGAGUAUUUUGUUGGAAGAUUUUUGUGUCUGUGUUCAUCAGUGGUAUUGGCUUGUAAUUUUCUUUUUGUAGUAUCUUUGUCUUGUCUUGACGUCAGGGUGAUGGUGGCCUCGUAGAAUGAGUUUGGGGGUUUCCUUCCCGUCCAGUUUUUUGAAACGGUUUCCAGAAGGAUAGCCAUUAACUCGUCUCUAAAUGUUUAAUAUUUAGAUUUUGCCUGUGAAGUCAUCAGGUCCUGGACUUUUGUUUGUUGGGAAUUUUUAAUCACAGUUUUCAAUUUCAGUGCUUGUGAUUGAUCUGUUCAUAUUUUCUGCUUCUUCCUGGUUCAGUCUUGGAAUGCUGAACCUUUCUAAGAAUAUGUCCAUUUCUUCCAUGUUGUGCAUUUUAUUGGCAUACAGUCGCCUGUAGUGGUCUCUCAUGAUCCUUUGUAUUUCUGUGAUGUCAGUUGUAGCUUCUCCUUUUUCAUUUCUAAUUUUAUUGAUUUGAGUCCUCUCCCUUUUUUUUCUUGAUGAGUCUGGCUAGAGGUUUAUCAAUUUUGUUUAUCUUUUCAAAGAACCAGCUUUUAGUUUCAUUGAUCUUUGCUGUUGUUUUCUUUGUCUCUAUUCCAAUUAUUUUCUAUCUGAUCAUUGUGAUUUCUUUCCUUUCUACUAUCUUUGAGGAUUUUUUUUGGUUUUGAGUUUUGUUUGUUCUUUCUCUAGUUGCUUUGGGUAUCAGGUUAGGUUGCUUAAUUGAGGUUUUUUUCUUGUUUCCUGAGGUAAGACUUCCAUAAACUUUCCUCCUAGAACUGCUUUUGCUGUAUUUCAUAGAUUUUGGAUUGUUGUGCUUUCAUUUUCAUUUGUCUCUAGAUAUUUAUUUUCUCUUUGGUUUUUUUCAAUGAUCCAUUGGUUGUUUAGUAGCAUGUUGUUUAGCCUCCAACUGUUUGUUUGUUUAUAGUUUUUUUCUUGUAAUUUAUUUCCAAUCUCAUAGCACGAUGGUAAAAGAAGCUUGGUAUUGUCUCAGUUUUCUUAAACUGACCGAGGCUUGCCUUGUGGCCCAGCACGUGGUCAGUCCUAGAGAAUGUGCCGUGUGCACCUGAGAAGAAGGCGUAUUCUGCUGCUUUUGGAUGCAGUGCUCUAUAAAUAUCAGUUAAGUCCAUCUGAUCUAAUGUGUCACUUAAGGCCUUUGUUUCCUUGUUAACUUUCUGUGGGGUGUUAAAAGUCCACCACUCUUAUGUGUUCCUGUCAGUUUCUCCCUUUAUGACUCUUGUGCUGUGCCUAGUCACUCAGUCGUGUCUGACUCUUUGUGACCCCGUGAACAGGAGCCCGCCCAGCUCCUCUGUCCAUGGGAUUCUCCAGGCAAGAAUACUGAAGUGGGCUGCCAUUUAUUUCCUUCUCCGUGGCUCUUAGUAUUGGCCUUACAUAUUGAGGUGCUUCUGCAUUGGGUGCAUAUAUAUUUACAGUUGUUCUUGCAUUUACGGUGUCUUCUUGGAUUGAUCCGUUGAUCAUUAUGUAUUGUCAUCCUUUGUCUCUUAUGUGCUCUGGGUGCUAAGUCGCUUCAUAGUCUUGACUCUGCGACUCCAUGGAUUGCAGCCCGCCAGACUCCUCUGUCCAUGGGAUUCUCCAGGCAAGAACGCAGGAGUGGAUUCCCACGCCCUCCUCCAAGGAAUCUUCCCAACUCAGGGAUCAAACCUGUGUCUCCUGUGUCUCUUGCAUUGGCAGGCGGGUUCUUUAACACUAGUGCCACCUGGGAACUUAUCACAGUGUUUAUUUUAAAAUCUGUUUGUCUGAUACAAGUAUUGCUAUUCCAGCUGUCUUUUGCAUUUCCAUUUUCAUGGAAUACCUUCUUCCAUCCCCCAGGAUCUUUAUUAAAUGUUGUUCGGGAGCAUAGCACAGCGAGUAGAAUUCCUUGUGUUUCUCGGCUUAGAAUGGGUUAGGGAGUCUUAAAAGGGCCAAAUAAAACUAUCAGAGCAGUGCUUUACCUGCAGUAACUUUUUUUUUUUUUUUUUUGCAGUAACUUUUAAAUCAUCUUCUUGAUCUAUUUUUGAUCUUGUUCUUUUUUCAAUGUCACUGUGGUACAGAUAAGUAUGACAAGGGACUGAACCCGUGCCUUCUGCGCCGGAAGCAUGGAGUCUUACCCAUUGCCAGGGAAGUCUGAAAGUAAAGUAUAUGGUUUUAGAUACUGUGAAUCUGUUGUUUUCCGUUUAGCCAAAUAUCUGCUUAAAUUGUUCAUGUCCUAAAGAAGAGUUCAUCCUGACAGUUCUCUCAUUCGUGGGUGUUGAUGUAUGCACACACGCUAUCAAGACUUAAUGCUUUGCUAAAACUGGCUGCAGACCAGGUGAUUUUAGAAUCUGCACUUCAGAGAUAAAGAAACCUGCAAGCUCUCCCCUGUGCCAAAAAUACCACAUACAGUGUUUACAAAUGUCUAGAAUUUUGCACUGCCAUAGGGUACCUGAGGUUACUUUACUGGAAUUGUCCGCAUCUGUGAUUAGCUGAGUUGCAGUUUAGCAUAUGAGGAGAAAUAUUGGAGACUCUAAAGCUAAACUGGAAAUGGAAAUUAUCUGCGGUGGUGGUUCAGGUGACCCCCCAGACCUAAUCUGGAAACAGUUUUUUCCAGAUGGCCUUGAGAUACUCUUUUUGUUGAUAGAGCUUUCCUUGCUGGCCAUUGCUAUAUUCUUUCUUUAGCAACCAGAUCUCUUUUUCUUCUGUGGGAAAAUGUCCUAUUAGUAUUUUGAGAUCUUUUAAUGCAAUGAAUAUGCAAUCCCAAAUAAUGCCACUGUUGGUGAAUGUGGUAUUGUUAAAAUAUUAUAAUAAGCUUACACUUGGGGUUUCCUGUACUUCUCUCAAGAGCCUUUUGAAUGACUGGAAUGUCACAGAGAAAGAAGUGUUCAGAAAGAGGUAGUUAGUAUUUCUGGGAAGCUUACCUGAAAUCCAGGAUGCUGCUUCUGCAGGUUGCUCUUCACUGGGGAUCUUUAUUAAAUGUCAUCUUGGAGGAUAGCCCAGCAGGUAGAACUGCUUAUUUCUUGGGGCAGGAUGGGUCAAGAAUCCUAAAAGGGGCCAGAUGGUGCUGUCAGAGCAAUUCCUUUCUCAGUUGCUGUAGUUUGAAAAAUACUUGUUGUAGUUGCUGUAGUUUGAUAAAUACUUUAUUGAAAAUUAAUACUUAAAACAUUUUAUCAGAAUAUCUGAUUUCUUAUCCCAAGGCUUUUUUUUGUUUUUGUUUUUAAACAGUAAAAACUUUGUUGUCAGACAUUUCCCAUUCCUGUUGUUCUUUUUCCUUGGAAUUCAAAGUUAUUAUCUACUUCUGGAUAUUGCUUUUAUAUUGAAGGCCUUUCUGUAUCACCCCUUGGACGGUUGUAACUCCAGUGUCUUUAGAUAAUAUUCCUCUUUUCCAGUCAGUCCUGGGGAAUGUUUCUCCUGCAGAAUUAGGUGGUGGAGUCUAGCAAUAAGAAGCAAAGACAUGACAUCAGAGCUACUGUCUAUUAAAAACAACUGUAGAUGAAGAUUUGUGUGUAUGAACUGUUUAUUUCAUCAGUGUGUUGGAGUGUAGGAGAUUUGUGUAUGUGAGCUGUUUAUUUCAUUGUGUGUUGCAGUGUAGGUGAUUAACAGUGUUGUGUUGGUUUCGGGUGUGCAGCAAAGCGAUUCAGUUAUACCUAUACAUAUAUCUGUUCUUUUUCAAAGUCGUUUCCCACUUAGGUUGUUAGAUAAUAUUGAGCAGAGUUCAUUUUAUCUUGCUUUAACUUUUUACUUAAUAUAAAGUAUAUUGGAGUAUAGCCGAUUAGCAAUGUUGUGACAGUUUCAGGCGCACAGCCAUACAUAUACAGGUGUCCGUCCUUCCCCAAAGUCCCCUCCCAUACAGACUGCCACCCAGUACUGAGCAGAGUUCUCUGUGCUGCAGAGUAGGUUGUCCAUUUUAAAUAUAGAACUGUGUACAUUGUCCCCCUAUUCAGUUUGCCUCAUUUUUUUCUUUUUCAUAAAGAAUCAAAAUGCCUCAUUUAGUUUUUUCUUUUCCUCUUGUGAAAGUUACAGAAAAUGUUUUUUAAAGGAGUGCAGUGUUUCUGGCCUCCUCAUCACCUAGCAAGGCAGCCUCUUAAACAGGACUCUCUUCUAGUCUAUAGCCAGGCACUGUUAAGUGCUUCUUGGAUAGAGAUAAGGAAUAAACUUAUUCUACCAUCAUGAGUCCUAAUCUUGACCUUCUUAAGCCUCAGUUUUUCUCAUCUGUAAAAUGAGUUCACAUACUACUCUUUCUACCUCAUAGUUUGUUGGGGGGAUUAAGUGUGGGAGGUAAUAGAACCUCUGGUUGCCUUGAAUAAGAUACUAGACGUUGUUAAGCUUUUGGUAGACCACGCUCUGGGGUAUAUAUUCAGAAUGCCUCGUCUCCUAGAAGCUGAGCUCCCCUUUGUGCCUGCCUAGCAGAGCCUACAUUGCUUCCUUUUACCCAUGCCUCCAGCUUAUGUAUCCUUUGCUUCACAUGAUCUCUUGUCUAGAAGAGUUCAGGCCCUAGGUUCUGAGAGAACUGUGUAUAUAAAUUUGGGUAGUAGCUACAACUGCCUUGCUAUGGUCUUGAUAUAAAAAAUUCUGUCUUACGUGCACUUGAAUAGGUGGCAUAAAAUGCAAUCAGUGUAUAGAAAUCAUGCAGAUUUCCAAAUAACAUCUAAUUAGGUAGUCAUAAUUAAUAAUAGUAGCAAAUACGGUGGGAAAAAAAAACCAACUUUGAAACCAGCCCAGAACUUGAGGAAAGGAGAUGUGUUCAUGAGCUCUUGCCUGAUCUUUAUAAGCAUUACUAAGUUGGUAGCUCUGUAUCUUUUUGCACUAUGUGUUUGGUUUUGUUGUGCUUUUUUGUGUAUUAAAUAAUUUUCAUUUUGUCAUUUUGUGGUGUCAUUAUUGGGGAAAUACAGAAUUGUUUUUGUAUACAGCAAGAUCUUGUUUUCUGCCUUUGAAUUUGUGUCAGACCACAAAUUUGGUCUGAUGGGAAUGAAU